UUUGUCUCAUCCUUCGUUUAAACAAACCACUAUAAACUUCCACAUCAAAACUGACUGAUAGUUAUUGCUUCAUUUCUCUUACUUCAUGGGUUGAUCAUGUUCUGUUUCAAUUUGAUAAAUACACUUUGCAAAAGCUAAUAGCUUUCAAUUUUUUUUGUUGUUAAGGUUUGGUAAGACAUUAAGCUAUGCAAAGCUGAGGAAAAUUGAUUUGGAAAUUCUUGUGAAUCUUGUUGGUGACAAGGAAAGAUAUUUAAAAUCUCGCAUGGUGCUAAAAUCUUGGGAUUUUAGAGAAUUUUCUUUUCUGUACACCCUUCAUUCAAAGUUGAAUAUCUCUAUCUCACCAUGACUCUAGAUUGAGUAAGAUUGAUGGUGUUGGAAUUUUAUCGUUCAUAUCUAGAUCGGGUUAUUCUUGACAUCGUUUGAGAGAUCUCUUGCAAGCUUAUCUCAAUUCAUGAUUUGGUGAAUGUAUUCUACAAUUUCUUUAAAUAAAGGUAUCUUCUAUCUACUAUAAUAUUCAAUUCUUAUUCUCAAACUUAAAUGCACAGGUUCUAAACUAUUUUUGAUCAACUAAUUGGAUUAAAGACAAUAUUCAUUUUAUAUAGUCAAUGUCACGACUCACUUCCCGUACCUAAGGGUUAAGUAUCGUAAUGGCCAGUAACUGAAGUUAUCUCCGGCCAAUUCUUAAACAAAUUAAUAAACGCAAGCAGAAAUAAUAUU
Non-coding RNA from Camellia sinensis, 717 nucleotides. The record is from RefSeq and is a predicted model, not a curated record. NCBI's taxonomy places the organism in Eukaryota, Viridiplantae, Streptophyta, Magnoliopsida, Ericales, Theaceae.